CGGAAAUAGAGUUGCAGGUUGGUAGCUCCUGCGCCCGUCCUUGGACGGGCUCUUCUCAGCCUCGG
RNAcentral lists this non-coding RNA (65 nucleotides) under unclassified sequences. The record is from RNAcentral.